Molecule: ribosomal RNA, 253 nt
Filed under: uncultured bacterium
Lineage: Bacteria
Description: partial 16S ribosomal RNA
Rfam family: Bacterial small subunit ribosomal RNA
Source: RNAcentral
GACAGAGGGUGCGAACGUUGUUCGGAAUUACUGGGCGUAAAGCGCGUGUAGGCGGCAGCGCAAGUCGGGCGUGAAAUCCCACGGCUCAACCGUGGAAGUGCACUCGAAACUGCGCAGCUAGAGUCCUGGAGAGGAAGGUGGAAUGCUUGGUGUAGAGGUGAAAUGCGCAGAUAUCAGGAAGAACACCCGUGGCGAAAGCGGCUCUCUGGGACGGUACUGACGCUGAGACGCGAAAGCGUGGGGAGCGAACAGG